CCCCUUCCCAUCCCGAACAGGACCGUGAAACGACUCCACGCCGAUGAUAGUGCGGAUUCCCGUGUGAAAGUAGGUAAUCGUCAGGC
This 86-nucleotide ribosomal RNA is filed under the name Paraburkholderia aspalathi. Lineage: Bacteria; Pseudomonadati; Pseudomonadota; Betaproteobacteria; Burkholderiales; Burkholderiaceae. The record is from RNAcentral.